UACGGGGGGGGCAAGCGUUGUUCGGAAUUACUGGGCGUAAAGGGCACGUAGGCGGCCGCUUAAGUCAGACGUGAAAUCCCUCGGCUCAACCGGGGCACUGCGUCUGAGACUGAAUGGCUUGAGAUUGGGAGAGGGAUGCGGAAUUCCAGGUGUAGCGGUGAAAUGCGUAGAUAUCUGGAGGAACACCGGUGGCGAAGGCGGCAUCCUGGACCAACACUGACACUGAGGAGCGAAAGCCAGGGGAGCAAACAGG
This 253-nucleotide ribosomal RNA is filed under the name uncultured bacterium. RNAcentral describes it as "partial 16S ribosomal RNA". It matches the Rfam family "Bacterial small subunit ribosomal RNA", at positions 524 to 776 of the family's 1533-position model. The record is from RNAcentral.